Molecule: long non-coding RNA, 932 nt
Filed under: Marmota monax (woodchuck)
Lineage: Eukaryota; Metazoa; Chordata; Mammalia; Rodentia; Sciuridae
Source: RNAcentral
UAAAGUAAAUAUUUUUGUAAACUGGGGAGGUGAUAGACAAGCAUCCACAACCUUGAAGAUCCGUCUGCCCUAACAAGUUGAGACUAGACUUCCCUUCAUUAGGAAAAAGUAUAGAGACAGGCUGUCUUCACAUUAGGAUCUAUAGUCAAAAGUGAAUAAAUGUGUCUGUGCAAAUAUGUUAAUUUUGGGGAGUUAGCCCCUCUUUUUUUUUCCUCCGUUUUCUCCUUUCCCAUCCAGACUUCUUAAUCAUCAACUCACAUCCCCUUUUCUGCUUCCUCAUCUUGAGUUUUGCUUAAUCCCUUUUGGUCAGAGUCCAUUUUCCUUUUUCCACGGUUGCUGAAAUCUUUUUUUUUUAAUCAUAGAUUGACACAAUAUCUUUAUUUAUUUAUUUAUAUGUGAUGCUGAGGAUUGACCCCUGUGCUUCACGCAUGUGAGGCAAGCGCUCUACCCCAGCCAGAAAUGGUGCUUCUUAAGGAACAUCCAACCUCUGCAAGACUGCUGGGAGCCUGGUUGACACUGGACACACUGAUUCUUCUUUGUUCCUGGUGCUGCUUUUAACAGGGAUCCACGUGGGAUAGAAAGGGGGAAACCAGGGUACCAUGGGAGCAUAUGUCAUGGAGAGCUAAUUUAGUCUGGGGGCAAAGAAGACUUACCAGUGAAGUGAUACAAAAGAUGAAACUUUAGGGUGCUGUUAGCCAGACUGAAGCUAGAGUGAAUUUGUACCUACCCUGAUUCAUCUUAAAUAAAAAUAUUGAGAUAGAGAAAAUUUUACCAAGGAUGGUGCUAAAGUCAGUAAUCCUAUGUAUUGAUUCCCAGGAGAUAUUGGAACCCACAGAGCCACCUGACAGAGUGAAGCAGAGCAUUCUGCCUGGGGGAUCUGAGGUCUCAGCCCAAGUUGAGUGGAGGUCGGUAGCUGAGAGAGUGCUUAUAGU